This 435-nucleotide ribosomal RNA is filed under the name uncultured bacterium. RNAcentral's name for it is "bacterial SSU rRNA". It matches the Rfam family "Bacterial small subunit ribosomal RNA", at positions 958 to 1392 of the family's 1533-position model. The record is from RNAcentral.
AACGCGAAGAACCUUACCAAAUCUUGACAUCCUUUGACCGCUCUAGAGAUAGAGUUUUCCCCUUCGGGGGACAAAGUGACAGGUGGUGCAUGGUUGUCGUCAGCUCGUGUCGUGAGAUGUUGGGUUAAGUCCCGCAACGAGCGCAACCCUUAAGCUUAGUUGCCAUCAUUAAGUUGGGCACUCUAAGUUGACUGCCGGUGACAAACCGGAGGAAGGUGGGGAUGACGUCAAAUCAUCAUGCCCCUUAUGAUUUGGGCUACACACGUGCUACAAUGGACAAUACAAAGGGCAGCUAAACCGCGAGGUCAAGCAAAUCCCAUAAAGUUGUUCUCAGUUCGGAUUGUAGUCUGCAACUCGACUACAUGAAGCUGGAAUCGCUAGUAAUCGUAGAUCAGCAUGCUACGGUGAAUACGUUCCCGGGUCUUGUACACACCG